Molecule: ribosomal RNA, 462 nt
Filed under: uncultured bacterium
Lineage: Bacteria
Description: bacterial SSU rRNA
Rfam family: Bacterial small subunit ribosomal RNA
Source: RNAcentral
CGCUGGCGGCGUGCCUAACACAUGCAAGUCGAACGAGGGUUUGGAAAGCUUGCUUUCCGAAACCUAGUGGCGGACGGGUGAGUAACGCGUGAGUAACCUGCCUUUCAGAGGGGAAUAACGUUCUGAAAAGAACGCUAAUACCGCAUAACGUACAGUUACCGCAUGGUAGCAGUACCAAAGGAGCAAUCCGCUUUGAGAUGGCCUCGCGUCCGAUUAGCUAGUUGGUGAGGUAAUGGCCCACCAAGGCGACGAUCGGUAGCCGGACUGAGAGGUUGAACGGCCACAUUGGGACUGAGACACGGCCCAGACUCCUACGGGAGGCAGCAGUGGGGAAUAUUGCACAAUGGGGGAAACCCUGAUGCAGCGACGCCGCGUGGAGGAAGAAGGUCUUCGGAUUGUAAACUCCUGUUGUUGAGGAAGAUAAUGACGGUAUUCAACAAGGAAGUGACGGCUAACUACGUG